This 58-nucleotide transfer RNA is filed under the name Perkinsus olseni. Its description in RNAcentral is "tRNA-iMet". It matches the Rfam family "tRNA", at positions 8 to 63 of the family's 71-position model. From Rfam's summary of the family: Transfer RNA (tRNA) molecules are approximately 80 nucleotides in length. Their secondary structure includes four short double-helical elements and three loops (D, anti-codon, and T loops). Lineage: Eukaryota; Perkinsozoa; Perkinsida; Perkinsidae. The record is from RNAcentral.
UGGCGCAGUGGAUAGCGUGUUGGGCUCAUAACCCAAAGAUCCCUUGAUCGAAACAAGG